CUCCAGCACACUGUCUACUGCCUCUACUUUAGCACACAUAAAAUCCUGUGUGCCUACCAUACAGUACAUAUCCACUGUAAACAAGGAAAGGAUACUGCAACCUAGGGCCAACCUAGCAAUACUUCAUAUCUGGAACAUCGCUAAGGUUUAACUUUUUUUCUAUAUUUUUUAGCAUUUUUGGGGCAAGGAAGGUGAAAUCAGUAAAGAAAAGUUACUUUGACCAAAAACAGUUUUUCCUAAAAACAUUUUAGUGAACACAGAAUGCAAAUGUAUCAUAUUUUAUAAAGUUAUCCUACUUUAUUUUACUUACGUAUUUCAUGUUUAUUUUCUGAAGAAAAGGAAAAAAAAAGUAAUUAUAAAACCAAAAGAAAA
Molecule: non-coding RNA, 372 nt
Organism: Pelobates cultripes (western spadefoot toad)
Lineage: Eukaryota; Metazoa; Chordata; Amphibia; Anura; Pelobatidae
Source: the annotation of a GenBank genome assembly